UACGUAGGGGGCAAGCGUUGUCCGGAUUUAUUGGGCGUAAAGAGCGUGUAGGCGGCCAAACAGGUCAGCUGUGAAACUCGAGGCUCAACCUCGAGACGUCGGUUGAAACCGUUUGGCUAGAGUCCGGAAGAGGAGAGUGGAAUUCCCGGUGGUAGCGGUGAAAUGCGCAGAUAUCGGGAAGAACACCCGUGGCGAAGGCGGCUCUCUGGGACGGUACUGACGCUGAGACGCGAAAGCGUGGGGAGCGAACAGG
Molecule: ribosomal RNA, 253 nt
Filed under: uncultured bacterium
Lineage: Bacteria
Description: partial 16S ribosomal RNA
Rfam family: Bacterial small subunit ribosomal RNA
Source: RNAcentral